GCCCGCUUGGCUUAGGGGUAGAGCGUCGCACUCGUAUUAUAGCAAUGCGAAGGUCCUUCGUUCGAUUCGGAGAGUGGGCA
This is a non-coding RNA of Tothia fuscella, 80 nucleotides long. Lineage: Eukaryota; Fungi; Ascomycota; Dothideomycetes; Venturiales; Cylindrosympodiaceae. The record is from the annotation of a GenBank genome assembly.